Molecule: ribosomal RNA, 460 nt
Filed under: uncultured bacterium
Lineage: Bacteria
Description: partial 16S ribosomal RNA
Rfam family: Bacterial small subunit ribosomal RNA
Source: RNAcentral
UCUACGGGUGGCAGCAGUGAGGAAUAUUGGUCAAUGGGCGCGAGCCUGAACCAGCCAAGUCGCGUGAGGGAAGACGGCCCUACGGGUUGUAAACCUCUUUUGCCGGGGAGCAACGGGCGCCACGUGUGGCGCCACUGAGAGUACCCGGAGAAAAAGCAUCGGCUAACUCCGUGCCAGCAGCCGCGGUAAUACGGAGGAUGCGAGCGUUAUCCGGAUUUAUUGGGGUUAAAGGGUGCGUAGGCGGGUUAUCAAGUCAGCGGUAAAAUCGUGGAGCUAAACUCCAUCCAGCCGUUGAAACUGAUGGUCUGGAGUGGGCGAGAAGUAUGCGGAAUGCGUGGUGUAGCGGUGAAAUGCAUAGAUAUCACGCAGAACUCCGAUUGCGAAGGCAGCAUACCGGCGCCCGACUGACGCUGAAGCACGAAGGCGUGGGUAUCGAACAGGAUUAGAUACCCCAGUAGUC